RNAcentral lists this ribosomal RNA (501 nucleotides) under uncultured bacterium. RNAcentral describes it as "partial 16S ribosomal RNA". It matches the Rfam family "Bacterial small subunit ribosomal RNA", at positions 30 to 523 of the family's 1533-position model. The record is from RNAcentral.
AUUGAACGCUGGCGGCAUGCCUUACACAUGCAAGUCGAACGGCAGCACGGGUGCUUGCACCUGGUGGCGAGUGGCGAACGGGUGAGUAAGAUAUCGGAACGCACCUUAUAGUGGGGGAUAACGCAGCGAAAGCUGUGCUAAUACCGCAUAAUCCCUAAGGGGGAAAGCGGGGGACCGUAAGGCCUCGCGCAAGUAGAGCGGCUGAUACCUGAUUAGCUAGUUGGUGAGGUAAAGGCUCACCAAGGAAACGAUCAGUAGCUGGUCUGAGAGGACGAUCAGCCACACUGGGACUGAGACACGGCCCAGACUCCUACGGGAGGCAGCAGUGGGGAAUUUUAGACAAUGGGGGCAACCCUGAUCCAGCAAUGCCGCGUGAGUGAAGAAGGCCUUCGGGUUGUAAAGCUCUUUUGUCAGGGAAGAAACAGCAGCUCUAACACAGUUUGCGAAUGACGGUACCUGAAGAAUAAGCACCGGCUAACUACGUGCCAGCCGCCGCAGUAA